AGAUCUUUAAAAAUCAUAGAUCUCUUCUAAUGUUUACCCAUUUUGAUAUAUCUCCAAAUUCGUUGUGUAAUGAUAUUUUGUUGAGAUCUUUGUCUUGGGGAUUGUCAUCAUUCUUCUCUUCUUUUGUUGUCUUCUGCAUGUCUUCAUUAUUACCUGCAUCUGAUUCAACUGACUCAAGAGGUUUUACCUCAAGGUCCACAAUUUUAUCAAAGACAAC
This 217-nucleotide long non-coding RNA is filed under the name Vigna radiata. Its description in RNAcentral is "long non-coding RNA (VRAD_LNC017005)". The record is from RNAcentral. Lineage: Eukaryota; Viridiplantae; Streptophyta; Magnoliopsida; Fabales; Fabaceae.